RNAcentral lists this ribosomal RNA (497 nucleotides) under uncultured bacterium. RNAcentral's name for it is "partial 16S ribosomal RNA". It matches the Rfam family "Bacterial small subunit ribosomal RNA", at positions 28 to 507 of the family's 1533-position model. The record is from RNAcentral.
GAUGAACGCUGGCGGCAUGCCUAAUACAUGCAAGUCGAGCGAACAGAUGAGGAGCUUGCUCCUCUGACGUUAGCGGCGGACGGGUGAGUAACACGUGGAUAACCUACCUAUAAGACUGGGAUAACUUCGGGAAACCGGAGCUACUACCGGAUAAUAUAUUGAACCGCAUGGUUCAAUAGUGAAAGACGGUUUUGCUGUCACUUAUAGAUGGAUCCGCGCCGCAUUAGCUAGUUGGUAAGGUAACGGCUUACCAAGGCAACGAUGCGUAGCCGACCUGAGAGGGUGAUCGGCCACACUGGAACUGAGACACGGUCCAGACUCCUACGGGAGGCAGCAGUAGGGAAUCUUCCGCAAUGGGCGAAAGCCUGACGGAGCAACGCCGCGUGAGUGAUGAAGGUCUUCGGAUCGUAAAACUCUGUUAUUAGGGAAGAACAAAUGUGUAAGUAACUAUGCACGUCUUGACGGUACCUAAUCAGAAAGCCACGGCUAACUACGUG